GCCUUCAUGAAGCCGGAAUUGCUAGUAAUGGCAGGUCAGCAUACUGCCGUGAAUACGUUCCCGGGCCUUGUACACACCGCCCGUCACACCAUGAGAGUUGGGAAUACCCGAAGCCUGUGAGCUAACGUUAAGAGGCAGCAGUCGAAGGUAGAAUCAAUGAUUGGGGUGAAGUCGUAACAAGGUAAC
This 186-nucleotide ribosomal RNA is filed under the name uncultured bacterium. Its description in RNAcentral is "partial 16S ribosomal RNA". It matches the Rfam family "Bacterial small subunit ribosomal RNA", at positions 1314 to 1500 of the family's 1533-position model. The record is from RNAcentral.